AAUGUUAAACUGAUAGACAUAUUGCAUAUUUCUCAAUCAAACUCGUAUAUCCAAAUGGUUGGUGUGCUAUUAUGUAUCAUGCGGAACUGGAUCUUAAAAAGAACUAUAAAUUGUUUGCAGAGCCCACCUUCAAGCUAUGAUAAAAUAAAAUCACAAAAUACAAAUCAGACUGAUACAAAAUUAGGAUAGGUACUUCCCAAGUCAUAGCACUAAACUUUAAGAAGCAAUGUGUCAUCCUCAGUCGGCUACAUAGACAACUACAUGCACCAUGAUCAUCCCAACCAUGCAUUAGAACCAAUUUGGUUAGAAACAAGAGAAUAAUAGCUGGAUCUCCGUUCUAUGCUCAAUUGGUAGCUUGCAGACAAGUGAAAACCUACAAAUUAUAAAAUGACAACUUUUGUUUCUUUGAUACUCACAAGCAUACAAACUAGAAGUCUGCAGAUGUGAAGUUUUAGAUGGUAACACUAUUUCGUUUGAAAUUAGGAAAUAUGACAUAUGUAGUAGUAGACCAAAAUACAUGAACAUAAAAUAUCCCAGGUCAUGCUAAACAAAGCAUCAACACUGGUAAUAAACGUGAAAUCCUCUAUGAAAAUGUAAACUAUAAUGCAUGAAGUAAGGCAAAUUUUCAACUUUAUCAAUCCAGAUAGUGAAGUUUAUUUUAAUGACCUCAACAGUCAACACCCUCUCUUCCAGUAUCCCUAAAACAACAACCACAUAAAAUUAUUUUUACAUGGAAAAUACAUGAAAAGUGGAUCACAAAGGCAGAUGAGGAACCAAUACAAGACUCGGUAACUCACUUAACCAAGAAUAUUUUCUAGGAAGGACUUCAUCAUACCACGUAGGACACUGUCUAUUGCUGCCAUCAAGUAAUGCCUACAUAGUAUAUUUUAUUCGCAUCAGCACCAGCCUGUAUAAAUAAAUUAUAAUUUAUUUGAGAAGUGCGUGAGAUGCCGUUUGCAGAAAAUGUAUGCACCAAGAAAUGAAGUUGUGUCUACACUACAUACUGAAGGAAGCUCCAUAAAUGAACAAAGAUUAAGAAGUGAUGCUUCAUAAAAAUAGCAAGAACUACUCAAACAGUAUACACACAUAUUAAACAAAAACCAUGUUUUUUAGCUAUUUCUUCAAACUACGGAAAUAAAAUUGCUAGGUGUAGAUCCUCCUUUAUGAUGAGCUUAUUUCUAAUUACAAUUUAUUUAAUUCAAGGAAGUUCUCUAUGUAAAGCUUAGAAUGAACAUCCACAUUUGCGAAUUGCCAGAAUGAACGUUCUCUGAUGUCUGAUUCUAAGAGGCGAACAAGUUGUCUGGUGUGUCCCAGGUUAGUGGAUAACCUCAAACAAAUUGACCUAGCAUCCAUACACACAUCCGGUGGAGACCCAUUCUUAAUAUUUGUCAUGUUCACUGGGCGGAGACUCUGCUACAUGAGAACGAUAGCGUGUUUUUCGUCAGCUAAAAAAUUCCCUAAACCAAUAUACAAGAAUAUAAAGUGCAAGAUAACUUUCAAGCAAUCAAACUGAGUCGCACCAUGGCUGGAGAAGUAAAAACCUGCAUCGAGGCUGAAGAUGCUCCUCUCGUCGAGGUCAAGAACGAGAUCCGCGAGGAGGAGGACUCAGGCUUCCUCCGCUUCCCGUGGGCUGCUUCAUCCCCGCGGUGCAGGAAGAUAUGUGAUGAACUGCCG
RNAcentral lists this long non-coding RNA (1674 nucleotides) under Hordeum vulgare. RNAcentral describes it as "long non-coding RNA (HVUL_LNC004762)". The record is from RNAcentral. Lineage: Eukaryota; Viridiplantae; Streptophyta; Magnoliopsida; Poales; Poaceae.